GAUGAACGCUGGCGGCGUGCUUAACACAUGCAAGUCGAACGAUGAAGCCCAGCUUGCUGGGUGGAUUCGUGGCGAACGGGUGAGUAACACGCGAGUAACCUGCCCUUAACUCUGGGAUAAGCCUGGGAAACUGGGUCUAAUACCGGAUAGGAGCGUCCACCGCAUGGUGGGUGUUGGAAAGAUUUAUCGGUUUUGGAUGGACUCGCGGCCUAUCAGCUUGUUGGUGAGGUAAUGGCUCACCAAGGCGACGACGGGUAGCCGGCCUGAGAGGGUGACCGGCCACACUGGGACUGAGACACGGCCCAGACUCCUACGGGAGGCAGCAGUGGGGAAUAUUGCACAAUGGGCGCAAGCCUGAUGCAGCGACGCCGCGUGAGGGAUGACGGCCUUCGGGUUGUAAACCUCUUUCAGUAGGGAAGAAGCGAGAGUGACGGUACCUGCAGAAGAAGCACCGGCUAACUACGUG
Molecule: ribosomal RNA, 466 nt
Filed under: uncultured bacterium
Lineage: Bacteria
Description: partial 16S ribosomal RNA
Rfam family: Bacterial small subunit ribosomal RNA
Source: RNAcentral